RNAcentral lists this ribosomal RNA (419 nucleotides) under Candidatus Giovannonibacteria bacterium RIFCSPHIGHO2_02_FULL_48_15. Its description in RNAcentral is "bacterial SSU rRNA". It matches the Rfam family "Bacterial small subunit ribosomal RNA", at positions 1070 to 1514 of the family's 1533-position model. Lineage: Bacteria; Candidatus Giovannoniibacteriota. The record is from RNAcentral.
AGUUGUUCCCUUAAGUGGGGUAACGAACGCAACCCUUAUCUCGCGUUACAAGUGUCGCGAGAGACUGCCUCGGUAUACGGGGAGGAAGGCGAGGAUGACGCCAAGUCCGCAUGUCCCUCUGAUGCCCUGGGCUACACACGUGCUACAAUGCCCGCCACAAUGGGUCGCGAAGCCGCGAGGCAGAGCUAACCCCAUCAAAAGCGGGCCCAGUUCGGAUUGGAGUCUGCAACCCGACUCCAUGAAGUUGGAAUCGCUAGUAAUCGCAGGUCAGCUAUACUGCGGUGAAUACGUUCUCGAGUCUUGUACUCACCGCCCGUCAAUGCAGGGAAGCCGGGAGUACCCGAAUCCCGCUUAUAGCGGGAGAAGGUAAGCUCGGUGACAAAGCAUAAGUCGUAACAAGGCACGGCUAGCGGAAGCUG